CAGGAAGUAGUUUAUGUGAAAAUAUUAAUUUUGGAGAUUAAUGAUGAAGGAAAGAUCCUUUCUGA
RNAcentral lists this transfer RNA (65 nucleotides) under Dorcus parallelipipedus (lesser stag beetle). RNAcentral's name for it is "tRNA-Pro". RNAcentral also lists the same sequence under 1 other name. Lineage: Eukaryota; Metazoa; Arthropoda; Insecta; Coleoptera; Lucanidae. The record is from RNAcentral.